This 329-nucleotide unclassified non-coding RNA is filed under the name soil metagenome. RNAcentral describes it as "partial contains 5.8S ribosomal RNA, internal transcribed spacer 2, and large subunit ribosomal RNA". The stretch from base 1 to 120 matches the Rfam family "5.8S ribosomal RNA", at positions 35 to 154 of the family's 154-position model. The record is from RNAcentral.
GAUGAAGAACGCAGCGAAAUGCGAUAAGUAAUGAGAAUUGCAGAAUUCAGUGAAUCAUCGAAUCUUUGAACGCACAUUGCGCCCCUUGGUAUUCCGAGGGGCAUGCCUGUUCGAGCGUCAUUAUAACCCCUCAAGCUCAGCUUGGUGUUGGGGCCUGCUGCACUGGCAGCCCUUAAAAUCAGUGGCGGCGCCAUCUGGCUCUAAGCGUAGUAAUUCUUCUCGCUAUGGAGUCCUGGUGGAUGCUUGCCAUCAACCCCCAAUUUUUCUAUGGUUGACCUCGGAUCAGGUAGGGAUACCCGCUGAACUUAAGCAUAUCAAUAAGCGGAGGA